This is a long non-coding RNA of Mustela putorius furo (domestic ferret), 1778 nucleotides long. NCBI's taxonomy places the organism in Eukaryota, Metazoa, Chordata, Mammalia, Carnivora, Mustelidae. The record is from Ensembl.
GGAAGAUUGAAAUAAUGGAGAAACCAGCCCCUGCCGGAAGCUACUACCAGGCUGGAUGGGCAAAGAGGGAAGGGUCCGCAUCGCUAGAUGGCAGCUGGAACCAGAGCAGGCCUCUCCAGUCAAAGCUGAAGCCAUGGAAAAGAUGGACCUUCAGUUUUCAUCUCAGCGAGGAAAAUGUGCCCAGCAACAAUAUUAGACAGACCCCUGUUGGCCUACGGAGGCUAUGCAAAGCUGUCAAAAAUGAUAACACACUAAAGACAAACCACAAGUGCUUACCAACUCCGCCUAGAAACAACAGACAUGUUUGCUUGGGAAGCUUGACUGAGUUGAGACAUUUAAAUAUUAAAUAACAUAAAUGCCAAAAUGAAGUUUUUAGAAGACAUAAGGGGAUGCUGGACAAUUAUUUUCUUCUCGUUCGCCCUUAAAAGGAAAGUCUUGAAUCCUUCUCCCCCCAAAAGUGGAUGUUGCAGGGUCUGAAAGGGACAGCUUUACAUACUGCUAAAAGGACCGCAGCAGAAAAGCAUCGGGGCUGAUCUGUAGUGUUUGUCUUUGUAAGCUUGCCACGUGAAAGAGAUGUUAAAUUCUGGGCCAACAACAACAACAACAAACUAAAGCUAAUCAUUUUUAACAACCUGGGAGGGGGUGGUUAAGUGAAAAGCCUGGUAUCCUGGCCAGAACUUAACAGGUAUUCGGUCAACUGGAAUUUUGUUUCUCUCCCGAUGUCUUGGGUUCGCAUUCGCGUGCCCCCUUGGUGUCAGUUUUAUGAAGCAGAGGAAAAUCUGCACCAAAAAUGUGAGAAAAGCUGAGAAUUGUCACUGUGGGGAAUCUCGGCAUGGGCUGCUUUGCUAAUAGUGUUCAUGUCCUUUUAAAAUCUUAGCCGAAAUCUUUAUCAGAUCUCUUUUUCUAAAUGGACUAUUAUCUCCAGGGCUGGUGAGUGACUGCUCCUGUUCAAUGAGGUGUUUGCAAAGAGAAGGAAGGAAGGUGGAUCUGUUUCUUUCCAAUGGGCUAUUUUCUUCUUCCCUUUCAGUCUUCGUUCUUACCUCAGUCAUACAUGAUAAUAUGAUCCACAACAAAAUCAGUGGAGGAGACCUUCUUUCUGCCCUGCAAUCAUCUUUGAUUGAUUGUAUUUCAACAAUUAGUCUUUUAUUUGGCUACGUACUAUUGAAAUAGGCCGACAGCAACUUAGCAGGCCAGCUUUAAACAGUCAACUGUUAACAAUAGCAUCAAAAAGGGAGACCUGAUGGGGUUUACUGUCACUUUAAAGAACGGGGUUUUCACAUUGUUGAAAUCUGUCAGAUAUUUUGAAAUGUCCCUCUCACUAUGGUGCCACACCCCCUGCGUGCCCUUAUAAUAAAAUUGGUUUUACUCCUGAUUAAAUCAUUUUCUCCCUACCCACUACCAUACUUCUCAUAAUGGACCUGUGCGCUCUACAGCUGGUGUUCUUCCCAUGGUACCAAUUCUUACUUUAUCUUUUAAGCACUUUGCUGCUAAGAUCUCAUGCAGAGUGCUUAUGUUUUGUUAAGAGCUUCAUUCUUAGAGAAAUAGCUUAACACAUGUUCUAAAAAUGUUGUACAACUUAUUGCUUAAAACACAUUUAGAAAAUGUAUAAGUACUGUAGCUUUGGCACUGAACUUUAAGUGGAAACCUAAACACACACACACACACACACACACACACACGUGCUCUCUCACACACAACUAUCUUAACCAACUAUUUAUCAGAAAAGUCCAAGACAAAAUGCCAAUCUGGUGCACAGGUUCAAGAUUGCCAAAGGAAAG